AUUCCGGCCUCGAAAUAAAACUAGAGCCCCACUUGAGAAUGGGGGGGGGGGAAUACAAAAGGCUACACCUUCGCUAUGGGCGAAACUAACGACAAGCUGUUCGAGAGCCUCAACGGCUGCUGGGACUUCUUUUGGUUGUGUGCGCGCCCUGCUGCGUUGGCCUACAGCUAGCAGGAAUGAAAUUCAUCGACACACUUUUUAUGAUUGUUGUAUACUUUUCCCACGUCUCUCUUUCUAGAAAGAUGGUCAUCAAAAAGUCGGUUCGGCUAUAAUACAAAAGAAGUCGACGGAAAACUAGGUUCUGCUGUCUGAUGAUCGACUAUACCCAUCUGGCCUGCCGACAGCCCAUCCUCAUCUUUAAAACGGUUGAUCAUCUUAUUCAUUCAUUCAUUCCUUCAUUCUUUGUGUGUGUAUGUGUGUGUGCAAGAUUUUAAUGUACAGUAUUUUGAGUUGAAGAAAGCGCUACGCCCAAGAUAUUCAUCGCAGAUCGGCCUCAAACUGUACACGCGUGCGUGCAGCAACGUCCGUAAUGGUCAUAAGAACUUCACGGGUACAAACAACAACGACGGUGAAAUGGAAGAGAAAUCCCAUCCAAUCAUCCUGUCGGUGUACAACUUCUGUUCCAACCGUGUUAUUCUCUUCCCUAACCAUACUACUGUCGGUAUGUGAAGCACAAAAUAGAUACACACGCACUCUCUCUCUUCAAGAGUCUCCCCCCGGAAAAAAGAAAAUGCUGUUCAUCUUAUGAUAUCUAGACUUCGCAUUUUCAAUGAGAAACAAGCAGGAAAUACCUUGAGACUACUUUUGUUUUUUCCUCAAAAGAUCUGAUUAGGUUGGAUAUACUAAAAACGAGGAAGAAAAGAGUGGAGGCAACGCAUUUUACAAGGACGGUUUUUGUCGUCUAAUAAGGCGCGUCUGAAUAUCCGAAAUUCCGAUAGUUUGCACGUAUUGGGCGGGGUCGCAUGGAGUAAAGAUGACCUCGAGUGAUUUCCCGUUUAAAGAGUGAUUAUUUUCCCGAACCGAAAACAUGCGUCAUGAGAAUAGAAAGGUUGUAGAGUCGGUACGUUAUCUGGACAUUGAUGGACAGCAUUUUGACUUUCGCCAAGGCGUCACAAGGCCACACAACCAGUGACGCACAUUACAAUAGCUAACCUAAUCGGUCCGGAGAAUACGUACGUAAUAUAUUGCAAAGUCCAUGCCAAUUUGAUAAUUUAAACAAUCGCAAUCACUUCCAUAGUUGGAAAAUGUCAAGUCUCUUGCAAAUGAACAAAAUCAAAAGGACUUACCUUGCAACAGCGACGUAUGCAGGACGGAAGCAAAUCCAACUGGGUGUAGAUCUGAUUUGAAAAAAAAAAAACCAGCGAAAACAGAUGAGAAAACAAAUGAGUUUGAUGUCACCAUCAAAAUAAACAUUUAAAAAAAACUAACCGGUAGACAAUAAAACAAUUUUGUAGAGUGGGUAGUAUUAUUUUAGACUGCCGGUCGCAACGGCUGACCGAUGACUUGUGAGCCUGUCUGGUCAGUAACGCGGGAUCAAGUGGAGAUCUGGUGACUGGGACAUCAGGUGAGUAAAGAUUCGGAAUAGAAAAAA
Daphnia magna is the source of this 1591-nucleotide long non-coding RNA. RefSeq lists it as uncharacterized. The record is from RefSeq and is a predicted model, not a curated record. The transcript is spliced from 2 exons. NCBI's taxonomy places the organism in Eukaryota, Metazoa, Arthropoda, Branchiopoda, Diplostraca, Daphniidae.